UACGGGAGGCAGCAGUGGGGAAUAUUGCACAAUGGGCGAAAGCCUGAUGCAGCUAUGCCGCGUGUAUGAAGAAGGCCUUAGGGUUGUAAAGUACUUUCAUCGGGGAGGAAAAAACAAAACUAAUAAUUUUAUUUCUUGACGUUACCCGAAAAAGAAGCACCGGCUAACUCCGUGCCAGCAGCCGCAGUAAUACGGAGGGUGCUAGCGUUAAUCAGAAUUACUGGGCGUAAAGAGCACGUAGGUGGUUUUUUUAAGUCAGAUGUGAAAUCCCUGGGCUUAACCUGGAACUGCAUUUUGAAACUGAAAUACUAGAGUAUCGUAGAGGGAGGUAGAAUUCUAGGUGUAGCGGUGAAAUGCGUAGAUAUCUGGAGGAAUACCUGUGGCGAAAGCGGCCUCCUAAACGAAUACUGACACUGAGGUGCGAAAGCGUGGGGAGCAAACAGGGAUUAGAUACC
RNAcentral lists this ribosomal RNA (455 nucleotides) under uncultured bacterium. Its description in RNAcentral is "bacterial SSU rRNA". It matches the Rfam family "Bacterial small subunit ribosomal RNA", at positions 340 to 786 of the family's 1533-position model. The record is from RNAcentral.